RNAcentral lists this ribosomal RNA (439 nucleotides) under uncultured bacterium. Its description in RNAcentral is "partial 16S ribosomal RNA". It matches the Rfam family "Bacterial small subunit ribosomal RNA", at positions 339 to 795 of the family's 1533-position model. The record is from RNAcentral.
CUACGGGCCGCAGCAGUGAGGAAUAUUGCACAAUGGAGGAAACUCUGAUGCAGCAACGCCGCGUGGAGGAUGACGCAUUUCGGUGUGUAAACUCCUUUUAUAUGUCAAGAAAAUGACGGUAGCAUAUGAAUAAGCUCCGGCUAACUCCGUGCCAGCAGCCGCGGUAAUACGGAGGGAGCAAGCGUUACUCGGAAUCACUGGGCGUAAAGGACGCGUAGGCGGGAUAGAAAGUCAGGUGUGAAAUCCUAUGGCUCAACCAUAGAACUGCACUUGAAACUUCUAACCUAGAGUAUGGGAGGGGAAGAUGGAAUUAGUGGUGUAGGGGUAAAAUCCGUAGAUAUCACUAGGAAUACCAAAAGCGAAGGCGAUCUUCUGGAACAAUACUGACGCUAAGGCGUGAAAGCGUGGGGAGCAAACAGGAUUAGAUACCCGCGUAGGC